GUUGGUGUCAUAAAGGGACUUCUUGAACUGACUGGCCGUGGCUUUUUUCUUAAGGUUAACAUUCUCUUGUUAUUUUGAUCCUUGACAUUUCCUUUUGCUGGUCUUCCCCUUCCAAUUUCCCGGUGAAGUGAGAAUUCAGAAUGAAAAUUUUUUUUUCAUUUGCUUUCUAUAAAUGAUCUGGGAAACACCAUUAAUGGAGUGCUAAGGACAAAAACCAAGAGUGGAGUGCUAAGUGAGAAAGAAAAGCAAAUGACUAUUACACAGUGGAGAAUGUUGAUGUACGUUGUCCGGGCAGAGUGGGCGAAGUAUGUUCUUAAGUUCAAAGAUAACUAGUGUGUAGGUUAAUUAGUAGUUGGGGAUAUGUAGCAUCAGCGUUUGGACAUGCAUAGUUGAGAUAUAU
Rosa rugosa (rugosa rose) is the source of this 400-nucleotide long non-coding RNA. RefSeq lists it as uncharacterized. The transcript has 3 exons. The record is from RefSeq and is a predicted model, not a curated record. Lineage: Eukaryota; Viridiplantae; Streptophyta; Magnoliopsida; Rosales; Rosaceae.